Long non-coding RNA from Lagopus muta (rock ptarmigan), 1713 nucleotides. RefSeq lists it as uncharacterized. Lineage: Eukaryota; Metazoa; Chordata; Aves; Galliformes; Phasianidae. The transcript has 3 exons. The record is from RefSeq and is a predicted model, not a curated record.
GUUUCAGAAGAGAGAAAAGCACGGCGGGCAUCAACUGGAUUUCUGUGGCUGGUAAAGCUGUGCCGAGAACUGGGCUGACUGCUGCCCCUGGCAAUGUGUGCAAAGUCUGCAGAGGCAGAGGAAUGACUUUUCUCUCCAAAGUUGAGCUUGUCUAAGCACGGGAAGGUUGGAGAGGCUUUUUGCGAACCGAAGAUGGAGGGAGGAAAAGCAAGUGAAAGGCACGCUGUGCACAGCCAGCACACAGCACCUGCACCAUUGCCCUGCACAAAGGAGGAGCAGCUCAGCAAGCUUGGCCUGGGCCAUGGAAGGGAGCGUGCAAACGUCUGGAGCAGCCCCAGAUGGGCUGGUUCUGCAGGUUGCUGUCUGCUGCUGUUUUCUCACAUCCUGUUGCUCGGGGGUGGAUUUGUUCAUGUUCAGAGCUAGCAGGAAGCUCGCAAAGCCCUUUGUUUCAGCUGUCCCAAGGCUUUGAUCCCUGGCUGCUGGGAUGGGGCGUUUGAGGAGUGAUGCCUGUGCUGUUGUCCAGCCAAGCUUUGGGGAAGGGCAGGUGGUGAACCUCACGAGCCAAAGCCUGCAGAUGGGGUUUGCGGAGAAAGAGGUCCUGCAGGCCUUGUGUGGCAGCCACGGAGCUGGAGCGAGGCUGCGUCAGUGUAAAAGCCCAGCAAUGCACAGAGGUGUGAAGGUGAGCUGUGGGCUCGAGUAUCACAAGAGGGGGUGUGCAUGGUCAGGGCUUGGAUGCUUCUGUGUGUUUGAAGUGACUGUGGGGUAGUUAGCACUGCUGGGUGAGCUUGAGUGUCUGGAACAAGUGUGACGUGUCUUCCAGUUGCACGCUGUGUUCUUCCUGUUGUGUUGAGCUCUUGAGCUCCAGCCCUAAGUGAGGAUGCAAGCGCUACUGCAGAAGGAACGGGUUGAGAUUGGAAAUGCAGUGCAAAGGGCUGGAGCCAGCAGGAGCUGGGAUGUGAUCAUCCCCCUGUACUCAGCUCUGGUGAGUCCUCACCUUGAGUGCUGUGUUCAGUUCUGGGUCCCUGACUACAAGAAGGACACUGAAUCCCCGAGAUAUUGCCAGAGAAGAGCAGUGAAGCUGUGAAGAGUGUAGAGCACCAGUCUCAUGGGGAGCGGCUGGCUGAGAGAACUGGGAUUAUUUAGCCUGGAGAAGAGGAGGCUCAGGGCAGACCUUAUCCCUCUCUACAAUGAGCUGAAGAGAGAUUAUGUCGAGGUGGGGGUCGUCUUAUUCUCCCGUGUCAGUAGCGAUAGGACUGGGGGGAACGGCCUCAAGUUGCACGGGGGGAGAUUGAGGCUGGACGUUAAGAAACGCUUCUCCACAGGAGUGCCCAGGGAGGUGAUGGAGUUACUGUCCCUGCAGGUGUUCAAGAAACGUUAGAUGUGGCAGUGAGGGACGUGGCUUAGUGGGGAAUAUUGGUGGUAGGUGGACGGUUGGACUGGAUGAUCUUGGAGAUCUUUUGCAAGCUUGCUAAUUCUAUGAUUCUGUGAAAGGCAUCUGCUGGGCGAGUGCUUUGAUGGGUGAGCAUCCGGCUGCUGGACAGCAGGCAGCUGUUGUCUGUGCAGACAGCCACAUCCAUGGGGAGUGGAGGCUUUUUCACCUUAGCCUUGUCUUUCAUGUCUCACGUGCAGUAAGUCCUGUUGUUACACACAGCAUCUUGGGGGCAACCUUGAUUUCUGCAGCCCCGAGCUUUGUGGCACGAGAGCUCUCGGCCA